CGCAGCCGCGGUAAUUCCAGCUCCAAUAGCGUAUAUUAAAGUUGUUGCAGUUAAAAAGCUCGUAGUUGAAUUUCGGGGUCAGUAGAUUGGUCGUGCCACUGGUAUGUACUGGUCUUACUGGCUCCUCCUUCCUGAUGAACCGUAAUGCCAUUAAUUUGGUGUUGCGGGGAGACUGGACUGUUACUUUGAAAAAAUUAGAGUGUUUAAAGCAGGCUAACGCUUGAAUACAUUAGCAUGGAAUAAUGAAAUAGGACGUUCGAUCUUAUUUUGUUGGUUUCUAGGAUUGACGUAAUGAUUAAUAGGGAUAGUUGGGGGCAUUAGUAUUCAAUUGUCAGAGGUGAAAUUCUUGGAUUUAUUGAAGACUAACUACUGCGAAAGCAUUUGCCAAGGAUGUUUUCAUUAAUCAAGAACGAAAGUUAGGGGAUCGAAGACGAUCAGAUACCGUCGUAGUCUUAACCAUAAACUAUGCCGACUAGGGAUCGGAUGAUGUUAAUUUUUUAAUGACUCAUUCGGCGCCUUACG
RNAcentral lists this ribosomal RNA (522 nucleotides) under uncultured Glomus. Its description in RNAcentral is "SSU rRNA". It matches the Rfam family "Eukaryotic small subunit ribosomal RNA", at positions 569 to 1092 of the family's 1831-position model. Lineage: Eukaryota; Fungi; Glomeromycota; Glomeromycetes; Glomerales; Glomeraceae. The record is from RNAcentral.